UAGUUUCUUUAAGGUGACGAGUGUACAUGAGUGCACUCUUGUAGGACUCGAGUGCAUAGACGCGAUAAGUAUCCCUCGAAGUUCUUCGUCAAAGCCAACUACUAGCUUACCCCCUUUUCUCAAGUUGCCAUCAAUUAAGGUAAAACCAGGGUGAGCUUUUUCAUCUUCCUUUAUUUCUUGAAUUAGUUUAACCAUGUUUGGAUCAGCAGCCUAAGUCUGAUUAAUACGUUUGAUUACAGGUGAAUGAUAUACAGACAAUCCUGCACAUUAUACCCAUUAUUGCGUCUUGAUAGUGCAUGAGCCACCACAUUUUCCCGACCUCUUUUAAAUUGGAUAGUGAAGUCAUAACCCACUAACUUGUAUAGUCAUUUUCUUGAGCUAGGGUUUGCACUCUCUAUUCCAAUAGGUAUUUAAGAGAUUUAUGAUCCGUUUUAACAACGAAGGGCUUAUAACGGAGGUAAGGUCGCCAUUUCUCAACUGCAAAUGUAAGUGCCAAUAGUUCCCUUUCGUAUGUCGAUGAUGGGCUUCUUUCAUUCGGGAGAGACCUACUUAUGAAGGCAAUAGUUCUGUCAUUGGCCUCGCCACCACCCCAUAAUGUCGUAUGAAUCUCCUGUAAUAGCCCGUGAGUCCGAGAAAUCCACGCAGUUGCUUGAUCGAGGUAGGAGUAGGCCACGUUUCCAUUGCCUUUAACUUCUCUAGAUUAGAUCCCUGCUGAUUACACGACUCAGGUAAGCUAUCUUAGUACAACCAAACUCGCAUUUAUUCCAAUUAAGAAAUAGUGUGUUUUUUCUCAAGAUUUUCAGAACCUCGACCAAGUGUUUUAGGUGUUCCUCCCAAUUGGCACUAUAUAUCAAAAUGUCGUCAAAGAAAACCAACACAAACCUUCUCAAUAAUGGUUUGAGGACUGAGUUCAUAAGGCUCUGGAAUGUAGAUGGCACGUUGGUGAGACCAAAAGGCAUCACCAAAAAUUCAUAUAAGCCUUCGUGUGUUCGGAAUGCCGUUUUGUGAUAAUCAGCAGACUUCAUUCGAAUUUGGUGAUACCCCGAUCGAAGGUCUAAUUUAAAGAAAAAUACAGAGUCGUGAAGUUCUUCUAAUAAUUCUUCUAUGAUCGGGAUAGGAAAUUUAUCUUUAUAGUGGCAGAAUUUAGUUGACGAUAAUCAAUACAUAGCCUCCAAGUUAAGUCCUUCUUUCUUACUAGAACUACUGGUGCAGCAAAAGCACUAUGACUAUGUUGUAUAAUGCCUUUGUCUAACAUGUCGUCGACCAUAUUCUCAAUUUCUUCUUUUUGGAUUGCAGGGUAUCUAUAUGAUCUUAAGCACACCGGUUCCAUUCCCUACUUGAGUGGAAUUUGAUGAUCGUGAUCACGAAUAUGAGGCAAUUCAGUUGGUUUCUGGAAGAGGUCCUCAAAACUGGCUAGUAUCUUUUCCAAUUUUUCAGGAGCCUCAUGGAAGCUCAAGGCAUAAAUUGCAAAGAACUGCCCUGCUGACUCUUGAGAGCUUCUCAUUUGUAUCAUCGCGGCUUUAUUUCCUUUGCUCAGCAACUUAGACAGUUUACCACCCUCCAAAAUAUCCACUCCAGAUUGGUUAAUACCCCUUAGGGACUUGGUAAUUCCACCCCUUUCAAACGAUAAAGUCAGCUCUUCGAAAUUCCAAGAUGACGGCCUUAAAGUAAUUAACCAUUCAAUUACCAAUACAAUGUCAUAGUUAGACAUUGAUAGUACCCGCAUGUCAGCAUGAUAUUCUUCGUCAUUCAUUGACCAUCUUAGAUUUUGACAAUAACCUUCACUAACCACGUUGGAUCCACCUGCCACUUUCACAAGUAAGGCUGUCGUAGAUAGCACCGGGUGACUGAUGUUUUUGAGUAUCCGACUGUUAAUGAAAUUAUGGGUACUACCAGUAUCUAUAAGAAUAAUAACUAGUAAUGACCCAACCUUACCCAGUAUUUGGAGAGUCUGAUAAUUCUUCGUUCCAGACAGGGCAUAUAUAGAAAUUGAUGGCUCGUCUUUUGCUGAUUUAGUAGGGUGGUUAGGAUGGUAUGUCACCUCUUCUUAUUUAGGUAUGCAACUUUCCAUUUCUCUUGUUUCAUUGAUACAGAUCAUGAACAACUUGGCUUUGCAUUUAUGGUUUGCAUCAUAUUUCUCAUCACAGGUGUAGCAUAGACCCUUCUUUCUUCUGUCAUCUAGAAUUUUAGGAUCCAUUUGUUGCAUAUAUCUUUGUCGUGGGUUUGGGUUAAACAGAGAUGAAUAGGGAAUAGUAGGUUGGUGAGGUUUCGAAUGGUUAGGCCAUGGGGGUUUAGGAUGACUGGGAGUGGGUAGAAUAGGGGGGCUUGGACUAUAUAGGUGGCCAUUGUUUAGUAAAGAUUUAUAGAUAGUUUCUUGUACUUUAGCUACAACCAUGGUUGUGUUCAAUGAAUCAGGUUGGAUUAGUCGGACAGAGUUUGCGAUCUCAUCCCUAAGACCGCUCAAAUAACAGUCGAUUGUAUAUUAAUCUGGCAUAUGUAUGAUUUUUUGAGAUAUUGCCAUAUACUUGAUAUUAUAUUCAUGAAUAGAUUUGUUUGUUUCAGAUUCAUCAGUUGACUCAUAGGAGUAUCACAAAUAGAGGGCCCGAACUACUGGAGUAGUGAUUUCUUGAAGUUAGUCCAUGUUAGUCCUACGGUUUAAUUUCUUGUUUGUAGGAAGGAUCUGUACCAUGUUUGAGCAUCACCCGAGAAGUGGAUAGGAGCAAUCUCUAUUUUAGUUGUGUUUGAGGUUCUAUCAACCUUAAAAAAUUGCUCUACUGAAAUCAGCCAGCCCUCGACGUCCACUCCAUCAAACUUAGGAAAAUCAACUUUCGUGAAUCUUGUGCGGCGGAACAUACGGCCUCUCCCUUUCUGCACCUGAUCGUGAAGAACCUGCACCAUCCUCCGGACGAUCAUAGUUGUUCUUACUCGCCAAGGUAUGUAACUGUUCUUCGAUGGACCCGACCUUACUCUCCGUCCAUUUACGUACUUCCAAUAUCGUCUGGUUCAUUGACUCUACUGAUACACACAGAGAAUUGUUAUCCGACAGAUGUCUUGUUUUGACCAUCGUGAAGAUCGACGACUCUGAUACCACUUGAUACACUCUUUAGAAGAAAUAUGAGAAAAGAAGACUGGUUCACCCAACGAUAAAGAUUAGUAAAGGUUGAGAAGAUUAGGGGUGAGGAAAAAGAUGAGCAAAAUGCCCUUUCAUUCAAAAAUUCCUGAUAGUCAUGUAAAGAGAGUCACUGAUUAUAUUCUCAGCAUAUUCUCA
Impatiens glandulifera is the source of this 3268-nucleotide long non-coding RNA. RefSeq lists it as uncharacterized. The record is from RefSeq and is a predicted model, not a curated record. The transcript has 2 exons. Lineage: Eukaryota; Viridiplantae; Streptophyta; Magnoliopsida; Ericales; Balsaminaceae.